RNAcentral lists this non-coding RNA (29 nucleotides) under Mus musculus (house mouse). The record is from RNAcentral. Lineage: Eukaryota; Metazoa; Chordata; Mammalia; Rodentia; Muridae.
UCUCAAGGUCAGGGCUCCAAAACCAACCC